CGUGUAGGCGGCUGAGUAAGUCAGAUGUGAAAGCCCCAGGCUCAACCUGGGAAGUGCAUUUGAAACUGCUCAGCUCGAGUGAGAGAGGGGAAAGUGGAAUUCCUGGUGUAGAGGUGAAAUUCGUAGAUAUCAGGAGGAACACCCGUGGCGAAGGCGGCUUUCUGGCUCUUUACUGACGCUGAGACGCGAAAGCGUGGGGAGCAAACAGGAUUAGAUACCCUGGUAGUCC
This 229-nucleotide ribosomal RNA is filed under the name uncultured bacterium. Its description in RNAcentral is "partial 16S ribosomal RNA". It matches the Rfam family "Bacterial small subunit ribosomal RNA", at positions 568 to 796 of the family's 1533-position model. The record is from RNAcentral.